CCUACGGGAGGCAGCAGUGGGGAAUAUUGCACAAUGGGGGGAACCCUGAUGCAGCAACGCCGCGUGGGUGAAGAAGUACUUCGGUAUGUAAAGCCCUGUCAGCAGGGAAGAAAAUGACGGUACAUGACCAAGAAGCCCCGGCAAACUACGUGCCAGCAGCCGCGGUAAUACGUAGGGGGCAAGCGUUAUCUGGAUUUACUGGGUGUAAAGGGAGCGUAGACGGCAAGGCAAGUCUGGAGUGAAAGCCCGUGGCUCAACCACGGGACUGCUUUGGAAACUGUGUUGCUGGAGUGCAGGAGGGGUAAGCGGAAUUCCUAGUGUAGCGGUGAAAUGCGUAGAUAUUAGGAGGAACACCGGUGGCGAAGGCGGCUUACUGGACUGUAACUGACGUUGAGGCUCGAAGGCGUGGGGAGCAAACAGGAUUAGAUACCCUUGUAGUC
Molecule: ribosomal RNA, 440 nt
Filed under: uncultured bacterium
Lineage: Bacteria
Description: partial 16S ribosomal RNA
Rfam family: Bacterial small subunit ribosomal RNA
Source: RNAcentral